AGUGAACGCUGGCGGUAGGCCUAACACAUGCAAGUCGAACGGCAGCACAGUAAGAGCUUGCUCUUACGGGUGGCGAGUGGCGGACGGGUGAGGAAUACAUCGGAAUCUACUUUUUCGUGGGGGAUAACGUAGGGAAACUUACGCUAAUACCGCAUACGACCUACGGGUGAAAGCAGGGGAUCUUCGGACCUUGCGCGAUUGAAUGAGCCGAUGUCGGAUUAGCUAGUUGGCGGGGUAAAGGCCCACCAAGGGGACGAUCCGUAGCUGGUCUGAGAGGAGGAUCAGCCACACUGGAACUGAGACACGGUCCAGACUCCUGCGGGAGGCAGCAGUGGGGAAUAGUGGACAAUGGGCGCAAGCCUGAUCCAGCCAUACCGCGUGGGUGAAGAAGGCCUUCGGGUUGUAAAGCCCUUUUGUUGGGAAAGAAAAGCAGCAGGUUAAUACCCCGCUGUUCUGACGGUACCCAAAGAAUAAGCACCGGCUAACUUCGUG
Molecule: ribosomal RNA, 492 nt
Filed under: uncultured bacterium
Lineage: Bacteria
Description: partial 16S ribosomal RNA
Rfam family: Bacterial small subunit ribosomal RNA
Source: RNAcentral